Molecule: long non-coding RNA, 709 nt
Organism: Sciurus carolinensis (gray squirrel)
Lineage: Eukaryota; Metazoa; Chordata; Mammalia; Rodentia; Sciuridae
Exons: 3
Source: RefSeq, a predicted model, not a curated record
GCUAAGCUGCCCAGGAUCUUCCGGAACUUUCAAUCUUCCUGUUUCAGUCUCCCAAGUUGCUGGGAUCACAGGCAUGUGACACCACCAUACCUGGUUCUCUGUCUACAAUUCUGAACUCAGGGACAGAGAAGACCAUCUCGGCUCCCUAGGGCUCCAUAUUCUCUGAUGCCUGGCUCCCCUUUCGCAAAAUAGAGGCUCACCCAGCAAUGUUCGUAGUGGAGACACUCUUGGCUAAAGACAAGGACGAGCGGCCACGGCGGGAGCCAAGGAGGGACUGCCGGAAGCUGUCUGAGGGGUAGAUGGCAGAGGAAGGCCGCUCCCGGGUGGUUGCUGUUGGAGAGAAAUGGGUUUUCACAGACUCUACCCAUAAGUCAAGAAGGGGCAAAAGGACCCUGAAUGUCCAGUUCUGCCCAGGAAGAUGGGCGGAACCAACUGCAAGGCAAGACAGCCCUUCAUCUCCAUACUCCAUCCUGUCCACCGAGAAAAGGUCCCUCACUCUACAAAUCCACAAUACUGCCCUCCAGACUCAGAGGCCCUUCCUGCCUGGUCCAGCCCUCUACUGUCCAGCAUCCAAAGGUCAUUUCUGUCUCUUUCUCACAAACUUCAUGAAAAGUCUUUUUGGGCCUGGGGUUGUGACUCAGUGGUAAAACUUACCUAGCAUGUGUGAGACACUGGGUUCAAUCCCCAGCAUCACAUAAAAAAAACUAAA